CCUACGGUGGCUGCAGUGGGGAAUAUUGGACAAUGGGCGAAAGCCUGAUCCAGCCAUGCCGCGUGUGUGAAGAAGGCCUUCGGGUUGUAAAGCACUUUCAGUGGGGAAGAAAGCCUUGGGGCUAAUACCCUCGAGGAUGGACAUCACCCACAGAAGAAGCACCGGCUAACUCCGUGCCAGCAGCCGCGGUAAUACGGAGGGUGCGAGCGUUAAUCGGAAUUACUGGGCGUAAAGCGCGCGUAGGCGGUCUGAUAAGCCGGUUGUGAAAGCCCCGGGCUCAACCUGGGAACGGCAUCCGGAACUGUCAGGCUAGAGUGCAGGAGAGGAAGGUAGAAAUCCCGGUGGAGCGGUGAAAUGCGUAGAGAUCGGGAGGAAUACCAGUGGCGAAGGCGGCCUUCUGGACUGACACUGACGCUGAGGUGCGAAAGCGUGGGUAGCAAACAGGAUUAGAUACCCUUGUAGUC
RNAcentral lists this ribosomal RNA (464 nucleotides) under Vreelandella stevensii. RNAcentral's name for it is "partial 16S ribosomal RNA". It matches the Rfam family "Bacterial small subunit ribosomal RNA", at positions 338 to 795 of the family's 1533-position model. The record is from RNAcentral. Lineage: Bacteria; Pseudomonadati; Pseudomonadota; Gammaproteobacteria; Oceanospirillales; Halomonadaceae.